Molecule: ribosomal RNA, 500 nt
Filed under: uncultured bacterium
Lineage: Bacteria
Description: partial 16S ribosomal RNA
Rfam family: Bacterial small subunit ribosomal RNA
Source: RNAcentral
AUUGAACGCUGGCGGCAGGCCUAACACAUGCAAGUCGAGCGGAUGAGAGGAGCUUGCUCCUCGAUUCAGCGGCGGACGGGUGAGUAAUGCCUAGGAAUCUGCCCAGUAGUGGGGGACAACGUUUCGAAAGGAACGCUAAUACCGCAUACGUCCUACGGGAGAAAGUGGGGGAUCUUCGGACCUCACGCUAUUGGAUGAGCCUAGGUCGGAUUAGCUAGUUGGUAGGGUAAAGGCCUACCAAGGCGACGAUCCGUAACUGGUCUGAGAGGAUGGUCAGUCAGACUGGAACUGAGACACGGUCCAGACUCCUACGGGAGGCAGCAGUGGGGAAUAUUGGACAAUGGGCGCAAGCCUGAUCCAGCCAUGCCGCGUGUGUGAAGAAGGCCCUCGGGUCGUAAAGCACUUUAAGUUGGGAGGAAGGGCUUACAGCGAAUACCUGUGAGUUUUGACGUUACCGACAGAAUAAGCACCGGCUAACUUCGUGCCAGCCGCCGCGGUAA